This 255-nucleotide ribosomal RNA is filed under the name Escherichia coli. RNAcentral's name for it is "partial 23S ribosomal RNA". It matches the Rfam family "Bacterial large subunit ribosomal RNA", at positions 2535 to 2789 of the family's 2925-position model. The record is from RNAcentral. Lineage: Bacteria; Pseudomonadati; Pseudomonadota; Gammaproteobacteria; Enterobacterales; Enterobacteriaceae.
GCUCAUCACAUCCUGGGGCUGAAGUAGGUCCCAAGGGUAUGGCUGUUCGCCAUUUAAAGUGGUACGCGAGCUGGGUUUAGAACGUCGUGAGACAGUUCGGUCCCUAUCUGCCGUGGGCGCUGGAGAAUUGAGGGGGGCUGCUCCUAGUACGAGAGGACCGGAGUGGACGCAUCACUGGUGUUCGGGUUGUCAUGCCAAUGGCACUGCCCGGUAGCUAAAUGCGGAAGAGAUAAGUGCUGAAAGCAUCUAAGCACG